Molecule: long non-coding RNA, 1049 nt
Filed under: Nicotiana tabacum (common tobacco)
Lineage: Eukaryota; Viridiplantae; Streptophyta; Magnoliopsida; Solanales; Solanaceae
Description: long non-coding RNA (NTAB_LNC009105)
Source: RNAcentral
AAUUUUAGGAAAAAACUUUCUUCUUUGGUUCUAUUGAAAAAUGAAAAAUGACUUGAAGUAGGGCAUUCUCUCUUGGUUUCUGUGGCUGAAAUCUCUGAGUUUUCAAACGCUGAGUUUGGUUUUGCUUUGCUGGGCUGGUUACUGUUGCUGUUGCUCCCUCUCUUUUUGGAAGUUCAGUAUUGUUCUAGUGACCUCUAUUUGGUCUCUUUUCUUGAAUCAUCUUUAGGUAUGUAAUCAUGCUCUAACUAUGAAAUGAAUCUAUUUGUUCAAGCCUGAAGUUCUUCAUGAAUAUGUGUGUAUGGCUGAAGGCAAUGUGUGUUUAUUUCUGUCAAGUUUGUUUGGCAUUUUUGUAUGCACGAAAAAUAUUAUUAAAGUAGUAUCGAUAGCUUUGGUUCAUAGUAAAACACUUAGUUGAGAUUGUUGUAUAUGGUUCUCUUAAGUAAUAUUUUCUCUUCAUCCAUCUGAUUUCUUCACUUAAAUACCUUUUUCUGUUCUUUUCUUCUUAGUUGGCCAUGAGCUAUAACCUGUUGGUUCAGCCGCUAAUUGGUUGGAUCAGUCAGUUCAGAAGCUCUAAGGUGUGAUUUACAUGUUUCUUUAACAAAGGAAGAUGAAGCUACUAUGGACAAAGCCAUAUUCAAAAGAGGUAGGGAUAUUCUACUAGUAUACAAGUUUGUAAUAGUUUAGCUCGAGAUUUGAUUAGUAGAUUACUGUCGGAUUAGAUUGUCAUUUAGAAUAUUUGUUUCAAGAAAGCAGUGGCAUGAAUUAACAGUAAUACAAAACUCGUUUAUUGGUGUAAAGGUUGUCACUCAUAUUGGGAGUUUUGUAAUAAUUGGACUGUCCAAGAGCUUGGUUAAACAAGUUCUAUUUGUAAGUUCAAGCUUACAUUUCACAUGCUGGGUUGCAAUUAAUGCAUAUAAGUGUGUGCUCUUGGUAAAAUUUAAGGUGUAAUUUUUGUAAACAGCACUGAUUUAAAUUAAGAUGUCUCUUGUUUGAUUUUUUUUAUUAUUCUAUCAUGAGGAGAAUUUUGAGUGUUUGGUUUGGGCUUGGCG